AAGCUCGUAGUUGAAUUUCGAGAUCAGUACGCUGGUCGUGCCUUCGGUAUGCACUGGUGUCACUGGUUUCUCCCUUCUGAAGAACCGUCAUGUCAUUAAGUUAGUGUGGCGGGGAAUCAGGACUGUUACUUUGAAAAAAUUAGAGUGUUUAAAGCAGGCUCGCGCUUGAAUACAUUAGCAUGGAAUAAUGAAAUAGGACGUUUGACCCUAUUUUGUUGGUUUCUAGGAUCGACGUAAUGAUUAAUAGGGAUAGUUGGGGGCAUUAGUAUUCAAUUGUCAGAGGUGAAAUUCUUGGAUUUAUUGAAGACUAACUACUGCGAAAGCAUUUGCCAAGGAUGUUUUCAUUAAUCAAGAACGAAAGUUAGGGGAUCGAAGACGAUCAGAUACCGUCGUAGUCUUAACCAUAAACUAUGCCGACUAGGGAUCGGAUGAUGUUAAUUUUUUAAUGACUCAUUCGGCGCCUUACGGGAAACCAAAGUGUUUGGGUUCCGGGGGGAGUAUGGUCGCAAGGCUGAAACUUAAAGGAAUUGACGGAAGGGCACCACCAGGGGUGGAGCCUGCGGCUUAAUUUGACUCAACACGGGAAAACUCACCAGGUCCAGACAUAGUUAGGAUUGACAGAUUGAGAGCUCUUUCUUGAUUCUAUGGGUG
RNAcentral lists this ribosomal RNA (651 nucleotides) under uncultured Glomus. RNAcentral's name for it is "SSU rRNA". It matches the Rfam family "Eukaryotic small subunit ribosomal RNA", at positions 624 to 1276 of the family's 1831-position model. Lineage: Eukaryota; Fungi; Glomeromycota; Glomeromycetes; Glomerales; Glomeraceae. The record is from RNAcentral.